Molecule: ribosomal RNA, 427 nt
Filed under: uncultured bacterium
Lineage: Bacteria
Description: bacterial SSU rRNA
Rfam family: Bacterial small subunit ribosomal RNA
Source: RNAcentral
GUGGGGAAUUUUGGACAAUGGGGGCAACCCUGAUCCAGCAACGCCGCGUGGAGGAUGAAGGUUCUCGGAUUGUAAACUCCUUUUGCAGGGGACGAAAUUUUGACGGUACCCUGCGAAUAAGCCACGGCUAACUACGUGCCAGCAGCCGCGGUAAUACGUAGGUGGCAAGCGUUACUCGGAAUUACUAGGCGUAAAGCGCAGGUAGGUGGUCAGAUAAGUCCGUAAUUAAAGCUCCCGGCUUAACUGGGAGACGCGUAUGGAUACUGUCUGACUCGAGUAUGGGAGAGGUGACUGGAAUUCCUGGUGUAGCGGUGAAAUGCGUAGAGAUCAGGAGGAACACCGACGGCGAAAGCAGGUCACUGGCCCAGUACUGACGCUGAGCUGCGAAAGCUAGGGGAGCAAACAGGAUUAGAAACCCUUGUAGUCC